Molecule: long non-coding RNA, 713 nt
Organism: Dicentrarchus labrax (European seabass)
Lineage: Eukaryota; Metazoa; Chordata; Actinopteri; Moronidae
Exons: 3
Source: RefSeq, a predicted model, not a curated record
CCCACUCCCGGCCACCAGGGGGCGGACGCCGAGAGUGUAGGAUGUUUACACUCCCUGGAAGUCAGAGGUCAAAGGGCACCUUAGACCUAGAAAGUUAAAAUUCUAAAAAACAAAAUGAAGAUCUGAGAACGUGUGAGGAGAGGAUGAAGCCGCUCCCAUCCACUGGGAACUGAAUGGCCUGAAUGGAGACAACUAUCGCUGCCAGCCGGUUUUCCCUGAAAAUACCGUCAAGACACCGGAUACUUUAGGCCUUGAUCAGACUGCCAGCACAAAUCUGUUUUCUGCACAGACAAUAAACAACGCAACAGACGACAACGUCAAAUCCAGAGUACCCCGACUUCCUCUGCUCCAGGUCAACGAGGUCCAGACCUCUGGAUCUUUUCAGAGGGGUGUACAAUAAUAGUUGUGAAGUAAUUGCCUAAAAAUAACUUUGAUGCUCCAAUGGUAAGAACAUGUAUUUAUAUGGUAAAAUGAAAGGAAUAAAACUCCAACUUUAACCAUAAAAUCAACAGUACUAAUACUAUUUUACUUUAAUAGAUAAUAAGUUAAAGGUCCAGUGUGUAACAUUGAGAAGGAUCUGUUGGCAGAAAUUAAAUAUAAUAUUCAUAGGUAUGUUUUCAUUAGUGUUUAAUCACCUGAAAAUAUAAUUGUCGUGAUUUUAUUACCUUAGAAUGAGACUCCUUCCAGUACGCCAUGUUCAACCGCCACGUUUC